This is a long non-coding RNA of Gambusia affinis (western mosquitofish), 1087 nucleotides long. RefSeq lists it as uncharacterized. The record is from RefSeq and is a predicted model, not a curated record. NCBI's taxonomy places the organism in Eukaryota, Metazoa, Chordata, Actinopteri, Cyprinodontiformes, Poeciliidae. The transcript has 3 exons.
AACAUGGUAGAUGACAGCCUGUCAACACAGUUGCUAUGGAGUUGCUAUGACAAAAAUGAACAAACAAACCACAAGCUUAGAAACAGCUCUCGCCUCGUUCCUAUCUAAGUUGUAAAACAUUACAACUAUGGCUCAAUUCUAAUUUUUGAGUUCACUGCUUUCAUUUAUUUGGUCUCAACAUCAUGGUUCAUCUCUGCGCUUUUCCUACCAAGAUGGUGGUUCAGUGGCGUGGAUCACUUCCGGUUCAGACUCAUGGGAGCCCAGUAUUGUGCUAAUCACAGUCAACUGACUCAAGUCAAAUCAGCCAAUUGUGACAAUAAUCACAUUUUAAGAAAAACGUAUUGGUCUUGGUAUCUGUAUUGGUGAUACUGGCCCUGUAUUUACCAGAUAUCGGAUCGAUACCGACGUUCUCAGUAUCGCACAGCCCCGUUCUCCAGAUGGCAAAACACGACGAGCUGAUUCUGUUUUGAUGUGCAGCGUCUGAGUUUUGACAAACUACUGAAACUUGACCAGGAGGCGUCGGUUUCCCACAUUCACUCUGUCCUCUUGGUGUGGUCAGUCCGCAGUACUGACUCUGCUCCUCUCUACUGCGGCCCCAGGAUGCUUGUUUUGGCUUUCUGAUUAUGUUCCUAUAUUUCUUGUCACAUUCAGGGAUGCAGGGUUUUUUUUAAGGUGGAAAUUGCAAACAUAAAAAAUGGUAACAGGAGCCUGCAGCCUGAAGUUACUGGAAUUAAGUCAAGCCAAACGUCCGUCAAUCAAAAAUGGACGACUUUUCUCAGACAGGCCGCGCCGAGCGCCACCUGCAUCCCUCCUUGUUCGUCUGUAACUUCCUCACCCUGCAGACGAGGCACCGCCAACCUGCUCAGGCCGUCUGCCGUGUCUCUUAACAGGAAGCUGCAGUGUCCCCAAAAGCCACUGUGUAUCCCAUCGAAAGUAUUUUUGUCUGCCGGUGUAUUUUUAUCCCCCACUAUGACGCACGCAGAGAGAAAGGGUCUUCAGUUUGCUUAUCUUUAAAAAUGUUAUCACCGCAUCGCUUCCCUCCACUCAAAAAUCACAGAAAGCCCCCUGGCCUUUUAUUUCCCAUGGA